Molecule: ribosomal RNA, 305 nt
Filed under: uncultured bacterium
Lineage: Bacteria
Description: bacterial SSU rRNA
Rfam family: Bacterial small subunit ribosomal RNA
Source: RNAcentral
ACCUACGGGGGGCAGCAGUAGGGAAUUUUCGUCAAUGGGCGCAAGCCUGAACGAGCAAUGCCGCGUGAACGAGGAAGGUCUUCGGAUCGUAAAGUUCUGUUGAAGGGGAAAAAGAGCGGAGAGAGGAAAUGGUCUCCGAUUGAUAUUACCCUUCGAGGAAGUCACGGCUAACUACGCGCCAGCAGCCGCGGUAAUACGUAGGUGGCGAGCGUUAUCCGGAAUGAUUGGGCGUAAAGGGUGCGUAGGCGGCCUGCUAAGUCUGGAGUGAAAGGUACCGGCUCAACCGGUACAGGCUCUGGAAACUG